RNAcentral lists this ribosomal RNA (550 nucleotides) under Camposporium cambrense. Its description in RNAcentral is "eukaryotic LSU rRNA". It matches the Rfam family "Eukaryotic large subunit ribosomal RNA", at positions 62 to 628 of the family's 3401-position model. The record is from RNAcentral. Lineage: Eukaryota; Fungi; Ascomycota; Dothideomycetes; Pleosporales; Melanommataceae.
AACCCAACGGGGAGGGCCUCAGCCCCGUCGAGUGAAGCGGCAUUAGCUCAAUUUUGAAUUCUGGCUCUUUCAGGGUCCGAGUUGUAAUUUGCAGAGGGCGCUUUGGUGUCGGCAGCGGCCUAAGUUCCUUGGAACAGGUCAUCAUAGAGGGUGAGAAUCCCGUAUGUGGCUGAUUGUCUUCACCGUGUAAAGCCCCUUCGACGAGUCGAGUUGUUUGGGAAUGCAGCUCUAAAUGGGAGGUAAAUUUCUUCUAAAGCUAAAUAUUGGCCAGAGACCGAUAGCGCACAAGUAGAGUGAUCGAAAGAUGAAAAGCACUUUGGAAAGAGAGUCAAAAAGCACGUGAAAUUGUUGAAAGGGAAGCGCUUGCAGCCAGACGUGCCUGUAGUUGCUCAUCUGGGGUUUUCCCCAGUGCACUCUUCUAUAGGCAGGCCAGCAUCAGUCCGAGCGGUUGGAGAAAGACCUGUGUCAUGUAGCUGUUUUCGAAAAGUGUUAUAGGGCAGGUGGAAUGCAACCAGCUUGGACUGAGGUCCGCGCAUCUGCUAGGAUGCUG